CCCUAAAUAUUCAGUAAAUUCAUUAACUGGUAAAAAUCACAUUUUAAAUACUUUCAUUUGCAGUUUACAAAUCAGUGAAUGGAUUUUUUCUGAACAUUUGUUGAACUGGAACAAUGCUAAAGAGAAAGUGCAGGUGGAUUUACCCACACUGGAAACUGAAUCCAAAUGAGCCUUUUGCUGGCAUCCAAUGUGCGAGAACUGCAAAAAAGAAACAAGUGCUAAGAAGAAAAAGUAUCUGCAGUGGUGAUUCAACAAGACAUCUGAAAGGAAAGGAGGAAACACAGAAGUAAAAGAAAGGGAACCAUGCCUACAGACUGAGAUGGAAGAGAAAGCACUGCCUCCUCUGUGUUACAUAUAUGUGUGAUGGAUACAUUUGAAGCUGUAUUUGUCCCUGCAUGAAGACUGCGUGUGUCACACAAAAAAUGAAGAAACCUUCCCUUGGAUCCACUCCUUCUUACUUCGACCUCGGCCUUUUCUGGUGUGAUUAUGUUGUAAUUACUUCAUGGAGCUUCAGCUUAAUGUGUUUCCAGAGUUUAAUGCAGUAGGAAACAUGUCACUUCAACUAACGUAAUCAAAUAUUACCUAUGAACAGCAAUCAUGAUAUCUCCUUGCUCUUUCCCAUUUUUGACAUGCUUACUUCAUCAAGCUGCUAGUCUGAACAAUUUUCACAAAUCUCCCAAUUUAUCUAGUUAUAACAGUGUGAUUAGGAUAGACAAGUGAUCUGAGACCAUGUAAUCACUGUAAUGAUGCCAUGUUGGAUGACUUCAAGCCUCCACCUCGGUCUCAGAGGUUGACAUUGUCUCCUCAGUUUUUUCGAUCAUCUGUUCCAUAGUUCCCUAUCUGAAUCUAUCAGGGGGGACGAGCAUCCAUUAUUUGACAAAGUCUGUUCUGAAAUAUAAUGCUAAUCAAUUAAAGUCAGUGAUCCAGCUUCAUGUUUAACAUACAUUGGUGAUAUCCUCCUAAACAGGGGUAGGUAGUUCACAAAACCUAGUAUUCUGAGAUACUUUAUAUACUUUUUCUCUUCUGUCCAUUUAAGAAAAAUAAUAACAAGAUGCAGUUCAUUUGAGACUGAGGACAGAAGUUUUGGUUUCAAACUUAAGUAGAGUACCAUCUCAUUCCCCUCCAGUUUAAAUCUUUUGAGAAUAUAGGCUGAGACACAAGUUUUCACUAACCCCUGU
RNAcentral lists this long non-coding RNA (1178 nucleotides) under Dromaius novaehollandiae (emu). RNAcentral describes it as "lncRNA (ENSDNVG00000016157.1)". The record is from RNAcentral. Lineage: Eukaryota; Metazoa; Chordata; Aves; Casuariiformes; Dromaiidae.